Molecule: transfer RNA, 89 nt
Filed under: Anaerolineales bacterium
Lineage: Bacteria; Bacillati; Chloroflexota; Anaerolineae; Anaerolineales
Description: tRNA-Leu
Rfam family: tRNA
About the family: Transfer RNA (tRNA) molecules are approximately 80 nucleotides in length. Their secondary structure includes four short double-helical elements and three loops (D, anti-codon, and T loops).
Source: RNAcentral
GCCGAAGUGGCGGAACAGGCAGACGCGACGGUCUCAAACACCGUUGAGGCUUUAACCUCAUGUGGGUUCAAAUCCCACCUUCGGCACCA